ACAAUCACUGAGAAUAAAAAACCUGUGACUAAAUACAGAAUUACUUUCAAUUUGUUCUCCGUGGAAGGCUGUGUUUACAGUAUAGGCUUUCAGUAAUGAUCGACUUUAGAAUGAAAAGAGACUGCUCCGUAACAAUUAUUGUUUUAAUUUAAUGUAUAAUUAAUGUCCUCAUGUAUUUUAGAAGUGGGAAAAAAUAUACAUAUUACUAAAGCAAUCUUAUUUGGUUCUUUAGCAUACAAAUGGGCGCCAGCAAGACUCCAUGGCUCUAGCCACUCCAGUAAUAUUGCUUGAUCCUGAACUAGCAGUCUUGAGGAGUUUUACAAUGGCAUUUGUGGUUCCAACAGUAAUCUGGGGAAGGUCUGCAGCAAAAAAUGUGAUGAAUUUUUUAAAAAUUCUGUCUGGUCUAUAAGUUGUGUCAAGAAAAGUCUAUCUGCUGGGAACUGUAUUCCAGUCAUCCAGCCUGUAACCAGCUAUAUUACUGAAUGACUAAACUAGUUCACAAUUUUUAAACAUUUCUACUUGUACAAUAACGCAUAUUAUCAUUCCAAGCAAAAGAAGCUAGUAGGUUUUGUGUAAUAAUCGUUGUUAUUCUUCUUUCAACUACUAAAACAGAAGCUAACAAUUUUUCAACAAGUGACACUAUUCUGUAACUGCAAGAAUCAUUUUUUUUACCUGAGUAAUAUGAGCUCUAGUACAUGAAAAAGAAUAUCCUAUUAGGAUCUGCUGUUUCAGGAAUUUAUACUACCACUUCUAAGUUUAAAGUGUACAUACCUAACAUGUUUCACCCUAUUAUUAAUGUUUGUACAACAAAUUAUUAAACAAAUAGAGAAUUUCCGUGUUGAUCUGCAGAUAUGAUAUGCUAAUGUAUGAACAAGAUGGCAAAAACAAAGAUGACUGUACAAACUCAUUUUUCUGUAAGUAUGCAAGGUCCUUUUCUCCUAUAUAUAAUAUAUGAAAACUGAAAAGUAUGGCACAAGAAAGUUGUAAAUCCAUGAAAACUAUAAUGUAAAUAAAACAUUUUGUUGCUGGUUCAUUCAACAAACAAAUGGAACAAAAUUUACAUGAAUUCAGUCUUACAUAGCAUCUUCAAAUGUGGUUUUAACAAAAAUUUGUACAAAUUAUUCACUUUAUACUUGUUUAUAAAAGAUACUGGCAUGCUCUUCUUUCCUUCAAAUGUAAUUCACUUACAUAUAGCUGGUUUAUGUAUAAAAAAGUGUAUACAAUAUUAUUGUAACAAUGAAACACCUGGAAAUUAAAAACAGAUAAACAUUUCAAAUUGAUUGUUCACAAGUAUAUACUGUUUUCAAAUUCCUGAUUUACAGCUUAUUAUUAUUACCGCUGGCAUCUAAUGAAGAUGGAGCUAUUCUGUUUUAAAAAUAUUCAUAACUUAUAGUUGGGCUGCAUGAUCAUGUUCCAACAGUUUAGUUAGUCUUGACACUCAUAAUAUAUAUUUAAAUAUAUGUGUAAUAUCUGAUAACUAUUGUAUUAAAAUGUCACAGCUAGAUAAUAAUAUGCAUGAAAACUUGUAUGAACAAAAGAACAUAAAAUAUACCUCACUAACAA
Zootermopsis nevadensis is the source of this 1563-nucleotide non-coding RNA. The record is from RefSeq and is a predicted model, not a curated record. NCBI's taxonomy places the organism in Eukaryota, Metazoa, Arthropoda, Insecta, Blattodea, Termopsidae.